Melitaea cinxia (Glanville fritillary) is the source of this 1166-nucleotide long non-coding RNA. RefSeq lists it as uncharacterized. The record is from RefSeq and is a predicted model, not a curated record. The transcript has 2 exons. NCBI's taxonomy places the organism in Eukaryota, Metazoa, Arthropoda, Insecta, Lepidoptera, Nymphalidae.
GUAAUUGGUUAUAUUGACUGACUUUUCAUUGUAAUUGGUUAUAUUUUAAAACAUAAAUGCGUGACGUGUUAUAGAAAUAGAGACAGAAUACUAUUCUGUUUUCGUUACACAGCACCACGGUCUUGUGCACUAAGCGAUCGUCACGCCACUCAUGCCUCUGGCGGCUUUAACCAUCAAACCAACGUACCCCCACCACUAGUUUCCCGACCUGUGUGAUAAGACCGUGAUGCCAACGAUUGGCAAUAUUGUAUAAUGUCAUUUUUAUUGUUCAUUGUCAUGUCUGAAUUACAAUAAUAUCUGUGAAAUGCUAAUUGAUCGAUAUCGUCGCUAGGUAAACAUUAGUUUUGCUAAAAUAUAAAAUUGCAAUCCUUUAACCGGCUCUACGUAUACAGAAUUUGUAUAUUUUCAACUUUUUUUUCAAUUGUCAUAUUUUUGGUGAUGAAAUAUUUAUUGUAUAUUUAAACGAUAAGGAUAUUCGAACACUAACGUGACUCCAGCGGUAAUUUAACGUGACUAGCGUGACUGGUACUAGUACAGUUUCAAAUCUAUUGGGGUUCUGUUUCCGUAAUUCACGCUAAUGUCUGAAUAUCCUCAACCUUUUUGAAUUAAAACGAAAACAACAGUAAGAAGUAAUCGCAUUGAUAAGUCUGUGUAAACACUGGGUUAGAAAAUGCAACUUUGGCAAUGGAAUAUAAAUUUUAUUUAUAGAACAAUAAUAUAAUAUAUAUUUCCAUAAAACGAAAACCUGUAAAGGAUAAAUUGAAGCCUAACCUGCCACUGCUUCACAAUACGUUAGUGGAGAACGCAUAAUCAAUAUUAUAAAAUAUUUGAUGAAACAGAUAGUAAAGUUUUACAAAUAUGAUUGACUAUAACAAGAAAAAUGCCAAAAUAUACUAUACAUGGCAGAACUUUAUAAAUUGGCAUAAUAUUAUAAUUUUGACUUAGUCUAAGUUUAUCUAUUGUGGGUUGAUGUCUAAUGUAUUUGGAGGUCAAGCUAUAAUGAAAUUUUAAUUUAAACUCAUAAAUAAAGUCGGGUGAAUUUUUUUUCUUAAUUUCUUAUUUCCUAAAGGUAAUGUUAGUUGUGUGAGACCUUUUUGUAAAUUAUUUACCUUCUAGUGUUCAGUUCGGAAUAUGAUGUAAAUAUAAUUAGUAAAAUUUAAUUAAUA